This 1193-nucleotide long non-coding RNA is filed under the name Anas platyrhynchos platyrhynchos (common mallard). RNAcentral's name for it is "lncRNA (ENSAPLG00000029773.1)". Lineage: Eukaryota; Metazoa; Chordata; Aves; Anseriformes; Anatidae. The record is from RNAcentral.
GAAUACACCUGAACUGCAAUAUAACCAAGACAACUGUGACCACCAGUGUAUAAUUGCUUUUUUCUGUAUACAGAGAUAAAUGAAUAAUGGAAAGUAUUCAGCUGAAUCUCAACUUUAAGAAAAUAAAAGCUUGAAGUGAAGAUGUUUCUGUUAAAGAGAAGAGGGAACUCUUCUGUAGUUACAGAGGAUUUGAGAAGCAACAGUUCUGUCAUCACCUUAUAAAGCCAUUCAGAGGAAAUGGUUGCUGACCAGAUGAUGAGAAUUACCCCGAGUGGCAAUGCCAAACUUGUUCUAAAUAAACAGCUUGUCUGUUUUGCCAUGUUGAGGAACUGAUGUGUUCUGAAAAAUGUCAGUUCUGCCAUUCAGUUUGAAAGAGAUUCAAGAUGUAGUCUAGUCCGGACCCUUCUCUGAAUGACACUGGGAUUUCUUCCUUCUGUACAAUGGAGAAGUGUAGUGGUCCAAAAAACUGUCUGGGGACAGAGAUCAAUCGUCACACAACCUCAAGGGAAUUACAGCUCAGACCUGCAUCAUUCACUACAGCCUAUCCCACAGCAUCCUGUCUCUAGCCACAGCUUCCCCACCUACCAUGCAAGGACCCUUCUGGGAAGGCAGCCCAUGGACGUGCAGUAAAAGUUGGCUGGUUGGCUGGGAAGCGGAGAGGAGAGGAAAUCAUCACUGCUAUGCAACAAUCGUGAGCUUUGUGAGGGUUUCAAGACUGCCAGAAGUGGUAGGGUGAAACAGAUUUUUGAAAUCAGAAAGCAAACUAAAAAUACCUGUAUAACUAAACAAAGGCUUAAUGGCUAGAUGUCUAAUUCAUUACUUUAAAUAUUUUCCAGUGUGUACAAGACAUUAUGACAGAUUUUAAUUUCUCAUAAACUAAAAAAAAAAUCUCAUAAAUUAAAUUUUUCAGAAAUGUUAAGAGAAAAUUAUAGUGAUAGUAUGAGCUGAUGGUGCUGGCCAGCUUUGAGCUUGUCAUUUAGCUAAGAUUGUAGUCAAGAACAGAAAGAGUUUUAAGAGUAUCACUGAUUUCAGUAGGCAUUACAUGGAUGUUCUUAUCUGUCAUUACUGUCUGUGGUUACUAUAAGCUUCAACUAACAAAAAAUUAAAUUAAUUUUGAGACUAGGCUGAGACUGUGCUGUCUGUGAUGGUGGUUUGUAAGUGAUGUCUCUUUAUCUUUACCCAUGAGCUUUUCC